CCCAGAGCCUCCAGAAGACUGGAGUUUUCUCAGAACUCCUCAGGACACGAGGACCCUCGAAAAUGCUGAGACCUGCCGGAGGGGGCCAAAUUUCUCCUUUCAGCUUGGGUCAAAAAAUAAACUCUCUCCUGCCCAUUUCGUGACUUUUUGUACAACAGUCUCUCCUAAGGAAGAGAUCCCUUCUUUCUCUGGGUGGUUUUCUGAUUCUACCUUAUUCUGUUGUUCCUAUAGCCCAGGUCAGCUCCGCAAGAUCAGCCCAGGAAGCCAGCGGACUGACAGAGGCUCUCCCUCAACCCAUGCUUCCAUGAACGCCACCAUGCUAGGAAGGAAAUUUGGCAUCUGACAGGUAGUCCAUGAGUGAGUGGGACAGCCGGC
Long non-coding RNA from Lutra lutra (Eurasian river otter), 375 nucleotides. RefSeq lists it as uncharacterized. The record is from RefSeq and is a predicted model, not a curated record. Lineage: Eukaryota; Metazoa; Chordata; Mammalia; Carnivora; Mustelidae. The transcript is spliced from 3 exons.